GAGGGGGGGCAGAAUAAAAGCAGUAUUUUCUUAUUUUCAUUUUAAAUGAUGCUAAUGCUUAUUCCUUUUUUACAUUUCCGUCUUCAGGCAAAUACAUAUGGUUGAUGUUUCUAAUCUUUAUUUAAACUGAAAGCUUACCAGUCACUUGGUAACUAUAAAAUAGAUAGUCUUACUAAGUAUGUGAAGAUAGAAAUCAAUUACCCAAAAUAUCCUAAAAUAAAACCACUUAUCGAAUUGUGACAAGAUGGAUUUCUUCUCACCAGACUGAUGGAGCACAGGUUGAGAUGAGGCCCCCAAAGAAGGCCUUUGUUCAUUAUCAGGAGAGGACAAUAAUGAAGUUGAAGGGGGACUUCCUGUUGAAGACGAUGUUGAAGGAGCUUGGGCUGACAUUGUAGAAGAUGACGACGAUGGAAGUUGUUCAGAACCAUCUACUUCCAUCGCAGUUUCUGAUUCUGUACUGGGUGGCACAUUAUUAGUAGUAGAAGCAUCUGUCCGAUUAGUCCCACCUCUGGACCGUGAUCUUCCUCGUCCUCGAUUACUUUGUGCAACUUCACUAGCUUCUUCAAACCAUCUUGACAGCAUGUCUGACAUCCUCUGCAUUAGAGAGACAUUAGGACUCUGUUCGCCAUCUCUCUCCCGUUCACUCUCAGGCCUUGCUCUUGGGCCAGUAUCUG
This 674-nucleotide long non-coding RNA is filed under the name Gallus gallus (chicken). Lineage: Eukaryota; Metazoa; Chordata; Aves; Galliformes; Phasianidae. The record is from RNAcentral.